UACGAAGGGGACUAGCGUUGUUCGGAAUCACUGGGCGUAAAGCGCACGUAGGCGGAUGUGUCAGUCAGGGGUGAAAUCCCGGGGCUCAACCUCGGAACUGCCUUUGAUACAGCACGUCUCGAGUCCGGAAGAGGUGGGUGGAAUUCCUAGUGUAGAGGUGAAAUUCGUAGAUAUUCGCAAGAACACCAGUGGCGAAGGCGGCUCACUGGCCCGGUUCUGACGCUGAGGCGCGAAAGCGUGGGGAGCAAACAGG
This 253-nucleotide ribosomal RNA is filed under the name uncultured bacterium. RNAcentral describes it as "partial 16S ribosomal RNA". It matches the Rfam family "Bacterial small subunit ribosomal RNA", at positions 524 to 776 of the family's 1533-position model. The record is from RNAcentral.